GGCCAAGUUGGUGUAGUGGUUUGAGCAUUGGACUAUGACUCUGGAGAGCAGGGUUCGAAUCCCCGCUCAGCCA
RNAcentral lists this transfer RNA (73 nucleotides) under Phrynosoma platyrhinos (Desert horned lizard). Its description in RNAcentral is "tRNA-OTHER". Lineage: Eukaryota; Metazoa; Chordata; Lepidosauria; Squamata; Phrynosomatidae. The record is from RNAcentral.